This 490-nucleotide long non-coding RNA is filed under the name Anas platyrhynchos platyrhynchos (common mallard). Its description in RNAcentral is "lncRNA (ENSAPLG00000023423.1)". Lineage: Eukaryota; Metazoa; Chordata; Aves; Anseriformes; Anatidae. The record is from RNAcentral.
AAGUAAAACCACUGGGCAUUGCUAAGCCUGGCAGAGCUGUUUAAAAAAAAAAAUAUAUAUAUAAUGUAGAACUACUGGAAAUGCUGGAGUGGCCAAGUAGUUUACACACAUCAUGGCGAUUUUUUUUUUUAAAGCAGUGCUAAAUCAUCUGCCAAGUGUGACUAAGCCAGCACACAGCAUUUCAGUAGAACUGCUUGAGGCUACUACACAGGAAGAGCUGGGAGGAAUCUGGUCCAUUGUGCAGGAGCAGUAUCCUUCUCCCAUGGUACUUUAAUAUGUUUUAAAGUAGGCAAGAUAUGCAAGCAAGAAAGCAAAGCCCUGAAACAGUUCUGAUGAAUACAGAUGAAGAGUAAACCAUAUAAGUCAAAAUGUAAUUCCAAAGAAAAUUGAGCUUUGUAUUUAAAACAAAACAACAACAACAACAAAAAUAACAAAAACACAGUAAAAGCAUUUUUUUUCCUGGGGUGAAUAAAAAUUGUGUAUUGUAACA